RNAcentral lists this microRNA precursor (60 nucleotides) under Caenorhabditis elegans. RNAcentral's name for it is "microRNA cel-mir-4921 precursor". Lineage: Eukaryota; Metazoa; Nematoda; Chromadorea; Rhabditida; Rhabditidae. The record is from miRBase by way of RNAcentral.
GUAAGUUGAUGAGUUCACACAUAAAUUUUGGAUAUAUAUGUGCCACUCACUUUCUUGCAG